Molecule: ribosomal RNA, 253 nt
Filed under: uncultured bacterium
Lineage: Bacteria
Description: partial 16S ribosomal RNA
Rfam family: Bacterial small subunit ribosomal RNA
Source: RNAcentral
UACAGAGAGUGCAAACGUUGUUCGGAAUUACUGGGCUUAAAGCGCACGUAGGCGGUGUCGUAAGUGUCAGGUGAAAUCCCACGGCUCACCCGUGGAACUGCCUGGCAUACUGCGAUACUCGAGUGUGGUAGGGGAGAGCGGAACUCCUGGUGGAGCGGUGAAAUGCGUAGAUAUCAGGAGGAACACCGGUGGCGAAGGCGGCAUCCUGGACCGGCAUUGACGCUGAGGCGCGAAAGCCAGGGGAGCAAACGGG